This is a long non-coding RNA of Grus americana (Whooping crane), 9335 nucleotides long. RefSeq lists it as uncharacterized. The transcript has 6 exons. NCBI's taxonomy places the organism in Eukaryota, Metazoa, Chordata, Aves, Gruiformes, Gruidae. The record is from RefSeq and is a predicted model, not a curated record.
CAGAGCUGGGAACAAACACCCACUUCAGCACCGCAGGCAGAACAGCAGCCUGAGGAACGCGGCGCUGCCCGCCCGGCCUGUCCGCACCCCCGGCCGCAGGCAGGCGGCUGCAGACCCGCGGCGGGGUGCGUAGAGGGGGGACCGAGGUCUUCUCAAAGCACGGAAAAUAGCUUCAUCUUUCUUUUUCUCUUCUAUGAGGGGUGGCUGUUUGUACACGCGGCUUGCAUUAUUGCAGUGGCAAGUAUACAUACAUCCCUAGAAACGGCUCCUUCCAGCAUCUCUCUACUACAACCUGCUGUAGAGAACCAGCGGUAUGACAGGUUAGACCGGAAAAUCAUUUCCCUACCAGCUGGCGGAGUUAAAAACCACGUUCGCGACCACCGCAUCAACCCCGCACGGCCACACCGACGGCAUCGCUCCAGCCUCCUCAGUCUGACACAAACAAGGGGUUUUUUUUUCUUUGGCUGUUUUUUUUUUUGUUUGGUUUUGUUUGGUUUUUUCUUUUUUUUUUUUUUUUUUCCCUGCCGCUUCCAGCACCGGUGACCCACGGCGGCCGCAGACGAGCACCGGAUCGCGGAGCGGGCUCCGUCCCCGCUUUGCAAGGCGCCUGGCCGGUCGGGGAGCGCAGCGAGAGGUUAUUUCCCUUAGCGAUCAGCAGCACAGGCGGUGCAAAAAGGGGAGGGGAAAAAAGAAAAAAGCAACAACCCACCCAAACAAACCCAAAACAAACCACAACAACUCUAAUUAAUAAUAAGAAUAAUAAUCACAGAACGAGCGAGCGCAGCAACUUGCUUUGACUCGCAAACCCCGAAGGCGGUAGGUGCGAAGAGGGCAGCCCCCCGGGGAAGGGCAGGCGGGGCGGCGGAGGGCGGCAGCGGGGCUCGCAGCCCCCCGGGACGGCCGGGGGUACCGGCGGGUCCGGCGGCGGCGGCGGCGGCGUCACGUGAAAGUCCCCUUUAAGUUUCCAUAGAGAGGCCUCCGGGUGUCACAUGAUGGACAUGAUAUAAUGAAACAACAUUGUGGGGAGGGAAGCACUAGGGGAGCCCGGGGCGGCUGGGAGGCGGCGGGGCAGCGGUGCCCCCCGCCCCGGCCCGCCCUGCCCCUGCCCCGGCCCGCCCGCCGCUCCGCGCCGCCCGCCGCGCUUGCACCUGUCUCAGCGCCCGGGAGCGCAGCGGGAGCGCGGCAGAUGUGGCAGCCCCGCUGAUGGGGCUGCGUGUGGCACCCUCCCCCGGGGGAGGAGAGCCGGCGGAGCAGCGGCCGCUCUCGGAGGUUUUCACGACCGUUCUGUUACUCUGCUGCAGCCAAUGCGGAUCCGAAUGCCGUGGCUACAAAGGCUUGUUACUCUCUCAUGCUGGAUCCCUCAAAUCCAAGAGCUACUUGGCAGUUUCCAAGGCAACCACCUGUGGAAUAAUUAAAAAGGAUGAAGUGUUAGUGUGCCAGAUAUAAGGAAUUCUUGCCUGGAGAGAGCACUUCAUUUUCACGUGUCUUGAAGAAUCAAAUGUGUUUCUGCCAGCAAAGUUAAGAAGAAGAAAUGGUGACUGAGUUGUACAAAUGAACCGGGACAAUCCAAAAAGUGACUCAAAGCGGGAGCUAGCAGAUGGCUGCAUCGUUAGCUGGUGGCCACAGCCUUACGAGAUGAGUUUUGGAAUUUCCAUCAAAGUCGGGAUUAGGCUCAGGAUACGCCAGUGGCACAGAGCACCCCGGGGGAGUGUGGAAGAAGAGGAAAUCAUUCAUAGCGACUCAUCUUGUGGUUGGGUGAGUCAGGGGUCUGCUGGUGGUGGUCAGAAAGGCACGUGGCUGACUACACCGUCUUUGUGUGCUCUGCAGGAUGCAAACUGUCGCUGAAAAUUAAUUCUGCCCCUUUGAUUUUUGUCCGGUGAGUUAGUUCCAGAAAGGAGUUACUGUAUUUUCUGGAAUGAGUAUUGUGAAAUUCUUUUUUUUUUUUUUUUUUUACAGUGGGCAAGUUUUCAGCUGGUGAUUUAUCAACAAAGUAUUUUACAGGAUCAUAGUUAAAAGCUCUUAAAAAAAAUAUAUCCUGUGUGAUAGGGAAAGUAAAAGCAUCUCAGUUUCCAAAUGAUGAAGGAAUAACCGAAAGAGCUAGUUCUUGGAAUAGUAGCUCCACUGGCACUCGUUGGUGAUUUCCUGUGCAUUUGCUGCAAGAAUCACUCUGUGAUGUGAGUAGGUGGUACUAAAGGGUUAUUACGAAACCAAUUUUCAACCAGACGUUUUGAGUCAUGGAUUGGGAAGAGGGAUAGCAGCUUCAGAGCUUUCUCUUUGUUCGAGCAGUGCGCCUGAAAUGCACACGCAGGAUAUUCUGUGCUUGCAUGGAACAAGGCAGACUGGGAAUAGGUCUGUAUUACGUGAGUGCUCUUCUUCAUGCCACUCCAUCUCGGGGAUGGGAAACGAGAACGUGGGCUGAGAGCCGGCAGCAGCGUGCAAGGUGCACAAGGAGCCGUUUCCUGACUGUCUUUCAAUUCGUAAGUAUUUUCUCGUGGUUUUUUUCCCAGACGUGAGAGACAAAAUGGAGUUGUGUCAGGACGGAUGUCUGCGCCAAAACGAGGUGGUGGUUUGGAGCAGUUUGGUUCUGUUCUGGAAGCAGAUGGGCUGCCACUGGCAGGAGACAGUUGGCUUCUCCAUCAGAAAAAAGAAAAAAAUAGAGGGGUGUUUAAGGGAAUUGGUCUGGCUCCUAAACCGAAGGAAUUGUUGACCUACUGACUCAGUUAUGAAGCAUUAGGGAAGCAGUCUUAUUGUGGUUUCUUUUGUUGGUGGCAGAUUCAGAAGACGUCCGUGAGCGUACGGGUAUGACUAGCAAAGGAGAGACGGUUCUAGUACCUGCUGCCUGUGGGAUUUAUUUUGUGCCAGGAAGGAGCUGAGGUGCUGACUACUAAGUAACACCUAAACUUUAUUUCUGAUGCUUCUCCCGAUAAUGCAUUGCUAUCCAAAUGCAGAGUUUGCAGCUGAAGUUUGCAUACAAAAUGAUGAGUUCAAAAUUGGACCUGGAAAAGAGGAAGGCUUCCUCUUCUGUUGCUCUACUAGAAUGGAGAGCUACCCACAACUCUAAUUACUGCACGCCUGCCAUUCAGAUCAGGCUCUCUACUGGCAACGUAAUGCACAACUUUGAACGAGAGUGGCAUGGCAUAGCUACAACAUCCAGCUACAAGGACCUCCUUUUAAUUGAACACUUUGAUUAUCACACAAUAAUCAGAUGAUUGAGUUGCUACAAAAGUUUGCCAGCCCUCUGCUAAGCGCUCCUAUGGAAUUACAGAAUCAUAGAUGUUAGAGAUGGAAAGUGCAUUAGAUCAUCCAGACCGACUUCUUGCCAGUACAUGUUUUCUGCUACAUUUUUGGUUUGGAUUUUUUUUUCUUUCCCCUGCAGUUUAUGGCUAGAGAUACUCUAAGAACUUGGCCUUCCACUAUGAUCUUCUGGAGUCUUUUCCACAAAGUUUGAUGGUGAUACUUUUCUUUGCCUGCUAUUUGGCCUAAUUUUUUCCAUUUAUUUGUUUCACCGUAUUAUUUCAAGUCUAUGUUCUCAUCUUCCAAUAGUUCUUCUCUCUGUGGUGUUAACAGCCUGUAAAUAUGCGUGGAAUAGUAUUACAUGCUCUUGAAUAUUAGAUGUAUCACUUAAACCUUAAGUGCUGCAUGUUCAGUUCUUCAGGAUUUGGGAAAUUAUACUGAUUGAAGAUAGGUUUUAAACUGAACUGCUAAUAGCAUAAUUUCUCAAGAUGCAUAUUUUAUUCCAGCGUAAGAGUGGUCUGUUCUGGUGUCACUUGAGAAAUUAUUGAAAAUACCUGAAAAGGCCAAUUUUACUGGGAAAUGAAAAUGUUUUUAUAUGGGGGAGUUAUGCCAGUGUAAUUUAAGUGAUUUUUAACUCUAUUGUGGCAUUUAAAUUGCGGGGAAGCGUUGCAUGCAAGCAAGUAUGCAGAGGGCAUUACAGGGAAAAUGAAAAAAUACCAUUGUCCAUUAGUGACAGAAAUAGUGGAAGUUGUAAUGUAGUUAUUUUAGCCUUCACCCCCACACCAGCUUUCCAUUAUCCGAUCUUCUCAGACUUUCUUCACUUAAUAAGUAUUGUUUCUUUUCAUAGUUUCACUUUUUUUGAUGGGAUUUGGGGGUUGCUUGUUUGUUUUUUCUUCUUCAGGGUUUGGUCUUCGUUACCAGAAGCCUCGGGCACCCAAGCAGGCUUAUCUCCAAAGUUUUCCCUUGUCUUGACCACAAAGAGCUAGAUCAAGAUCAAUAUCCCCCCGAAACAAAUACUCCGUGGCCAAAAAGAGGACCAAUGGGCAUUGUUUUUGCUGUCACCCUAUGAGAGACAGGCUGGUUCGUGUGAGCUGGUUUGUGGCUACAGAGCUGCCUACGGUCACAGUCCAGCACUUUUACCCCGGACCUCCGCUGGUUUUGGGAGCAUUACUGCCAUUUUUCCUUUCAGAACACCCCAAAGGAUGAGAGGAUUGUGUUGCAAGCCGCCAAAUGAAGGUUUUUUUGUAGGGUGAGGGCAAGGGUGUGCAUUGCAUGCCCGCCGGAGGCACGGCACACCUGGAAGCUGGCAAGGGCACGGCCAGCGCCAGCACUGUGCGGUCCUCAUCCCCACCAUCCGUCGCAUUGUGUUGGAAGAACUUGUUGAGAAGGGAUCCCAGGAGUGGGUUAGGAUUGGUGUGAUGUGGAGAGCUUAACCUCAUGGAGCCUCAUGGACCUUGGGAGCUUGGGGCAGUAAGCUGUCUUCCUUCAAGCCACUGGGAAGCUCGAUGCAGGGUAGGGAUGUAGAUGAAAGAGGCGAGGACAGACGUAUCAUAGGAGGUGAAAUUACUAUUAGUGAGUGGAUUGAAGGUGUUUGAGGAUCAGGUUGUGUAACUGAAUGGGGAGAUGAAUGAAAAACAUGUAAAUGGGUGGGUUACUGAGUGAGUAAGAGAAAAUGUGAGUAGGCGGGUAAUUAGACUGGCAAGUGAGAGAGGAGGUAGGAGUGGGUGAGUAGAUGGGUAGGUAUGUAGCAAAAAAGUUGGAAUGGCAUUGCAUGCCAACUCCGAGAAGAUACCUGAAGGACUGGUAACAGCCACUCCCCUCGAGAACAUGCAGAGAGGACUGACGGCCAGCGCUGUUACAGGCACUGCAGGGUGUGCAGGUGAGCAGGCAGACCCUCGAGACCUGUUGCUUUCCACUGCUCUGCGUCCAGCUCAUUGGAUGGCUCAUCAUUUUCUCUACCUAAACUUCAGUGUGUCUUCACACAGUAAACCAUAAUCUUCACUUUGGUCAGAUGGUGGCAUUUUGCUGGUGUUCCUGCAGAAAUACAUAAGACACUCAUUAUUAUUUGCUGGGUUUUUUGGCUCUAACAAAGUCAUAGAGAAAGGAGGUGAAGCACAACAGGCUUUUAGUCUGUCUGGAGCAUUGCAGUUUGCAGUGGGUAUUCCCAAGAGCUGAAAUGGCCCGAGAGCUGCAGGUGGAAGGACUUACCUGACAAAUAAAAGGUACGAAGAUGAGGGAUGCGCUGGAAUUAAAUGCACAACACGUCAGCAUAAAGGCAUCUCUCAAACUUGAAGAUCCUUUCAUUUUAAUGAAUGAGAAGGGAAGGUAAAGUAGACUUUUUAAAUCAUUAUCAAACCUUGACUGAUGGGGCUUUUAUUAGGAUCUUUUACCAUAACUGCUGUAAGGCUGGACAUAGUUCACCAUGACUAACACGUAACUGUUUUUCAUUUACUGUGGCAGAGUUACAACCCCAGCUGUGACCUCUCUGUAGUCAGGUACAGACAGGCUAUUGUUUAAGGUAAUGGCUCUACUAUCCUGUUCAGUUAUAUUAAGUUGUGCACAGUACAUUUUCAGUAUUUAUUGUAACAGAGCAAGUCCUUUUGAAGCCCACGUGGAGGUGAAUGAGUACUGCAGGAAGUUACAGGCUUUAUCUUAACCGCCAAAAAGGUGUGUAUUUACUAAGGAAUAACUUAAUAUGCAGUGUCGGACUGAAAAAUCCUACUAGAGACCAGUCCCUGCAGGUCCGUCAUCCAGUACCUAGGUACGGUGGGAAUUUUCCCUUGCUGGACCUACUUUUUGAUGAAAACUACAUUGCUUUGUCUGCACGUGGAUUUGACAGCAGGAUGAAGACCCAGUAUAUGGAGCAGCCUGCUGCGAGGAGCACUUUAACCCCACGCUCGCUGUUGCGUACCCAUCAGUGGUUUCAGCGCAGGUUGCAUCAGUCAGGAUGAUUGCACACGUCGUGCUCUGGAAGCAGUUCUGGGAAGAAGAUGCCAACCCAGUGUUAACAGCAUGUGUAAUAACUCCUACCAGCUCUGUGGUUUUCACUCUGUUUUACUGCCAGGCAGAAGUCUGUAACACUGGGUUACACGGGUGUCUGGAAAAUCUGUCAGGGUUUUGGUAACUUUUAAAAGUAUCCCUAACCAGUGAGUGAAAUCUUUGUCAUUUUGAACGUGGCCACCUGUUGCAAACUAAAUUUCCUACAAAGCUUGGAACUGUAGCUGAGCCAGCUCAUACAGUAGUUAGUAUUUACUCAUUUUUUAUCUGAGACAAAUCCAGAAAUUUUGCUGUGCUUAGGCAGAUGUUUCUUUCCAUUAGAAAGGAACAAAUCUCUCGCUGAUGUUCAAAUGCUGUAGUAACUGUGUGAAGUAAGCUACAGAGGAACAUGUGGGUAUGUUUAAUAAGCCUGUUGGGUUGUAGAUCUGUCAAGCCCCAAAUUUGCAUUUCUUACAUAAGCAGAAAUCCUGGUAGUGUUUACAGAUGAUUUGUCUGUGCUUUAGGAACUGCAGGAAUUGAAUUGCUGUGUCAAAAACACUGCUCUUAGUUGCCAUCUGUGGGAUUGCACAGGCACUAUUAAAACAUUUACAAUUGCAAUCCUAACUAGAAGUUUGUUUGUUGUUACACUUGAUAUUAAAACUUACCACAACAAUCGUAAGAGCAGCAUGCGACCUCGAUGGAAGCACGGACAGUUGUAAGAUUCUGAGAAUACACAGCAGUAAAAACCUUGAAGUUUCCCUUCUGUUUAAUUAAUUGUUGUUUUUGCUGGUGACAAGGUUACAAAGUAUUUGUAAUAACUAUGCUUAGUCUUUUGCCAUUUUUUUCCAUAUGGGUGUGUGCUUCCUUUUCAUAAUGUUGUUUUUCUUUCCUUUUUUUUUUUUUUAAACACAGCCACUCCUUUCAUUUUAAGAAUAAGAAUCAAGCUUCUUGCAGAGCAGAAAAAAAAAGUUUCAUAAACAUUGCGAUUCUGAUCCUUCUAAUCCUUUACUACCUGUAGGGGCAGGUGCAGGAAGCUGCUAUGGGAGAGCAGGUUUACUAACUUUUUUGUGGCUUGGGUUUACACAAAGGAGCAGUAUAUUUUAGAAGCUACAGAGAAAAUUCAGAACAGCAUGGUCGAAAGGUGCGUUGCUCAGAAAUGCAUCCCUUUUGCUUGGCUUAUUCCACUUCAAUUCUGCCCCGGAGAGUUCUGAGCCCUUCAGCUAGCAUUUUAAACAACAAAAUUGAAAUAGGCUGCCUGAAGUCUAUGCAUAUUAUCUUAUUUGUUUCCUGCUGUUGUAAAAUAGAUUUUAUUUCUGGAGAUACUAUCUUCUAAUACUUUCAUUACCCAGACCUUUUCUGUUUGUUUGUUGCUCAAGAGAAAGUGAAGGGAACCACUCGCUUUAUCUCAGUAAAAAGAAAGCAAUUAAUGCUGUUAGCUGUAUUGACUGUGUAAUGCUGAGAUAGCGUCUGUAGGAAAACAACCAGACAGCUUAAAGAAGAAGUAAGAUUUUUAUUUUUUUUUUUUAGCAUGCUGAAACCGUUUACAAGGCUGAAAUGGGGGCAGGGCAAGGAGGGUGGUAAAAAAUACAUCACCCAUCCCUUGUGAUUCUGUGGUUUUGUCUGAAUCUUUUUUUUUUUUUUCUCCUUACGAUCAGCCAUGCGUUUCAAUUGUGAUUGCUGUCCUAAGACUGUAGCUGUAUGCAAGAUGUCUAAUAUUAAAAAUAUGUGUGUGUAAUAACAUUUUUAUAAUGCUUCCCAUCUGGAAGAUAUGUCACACACCUCUACAUUAAGAUUUACAGCAUCCUUUUUACAUCUUGCUGUGUUCUGUGCAUGGAGACCCCUGUACAUGGGCUCGUUAGUGUACAGUUCUAGUCUGAAAAAGAGUUCAAAGCAGCUUAUUAUUUAUUGCCAGAAAUAAGUUUUCACUAUUCGUCUGUCUUGGUCGGUCUAGUAGAGCCAAUCCAUUUGUGAGAGAGUAAUUUGUCUGCUUUAAAAAGUUACGGUUCAUUUACUAGAAGAAAUGCUAACCAGCUAACACAUAGGAAGGGAUCUGAGGACUUUCUUCCUCUGAUUGUGCAGGAGAUGCCUGGAAGCUUUAAGAUUUUGGUCUGAAAUUUUAUGUGCGGACCAAGUCAUAGGGUGUGAAUCCCUUUCAAAAACUGUCUCAAAAUGGUACAUUUGUUAGAAAGUAUAUACAGGUAAUUGUUGUACUGCCAUUUAUAUUAGCAAGGCUACAUUCUUUCUUGAAUGAAGUUAUAAAAUUGUGUCAAAGCAUGGGAGAGCUCCAAUAUGACAUAACUGGAGAGUAACCUUUUCAUUGUCAAAAUUUAUACCAGAGGUAUUGUUGUGUAAGCAGUAUUACAAAAAAAAGGAAGAAAAAGUCAUGCUUUAUUGCUAGCAUGACUUUGGAAAAGGGACAGUGAAUUGCUGGUAUGUAGGAAAGCGAGCUUCUAAGCUGCCUGUGCACUUCAGAGGUAUUUGCUUAUAUUUGCUGAUAUAUACUGAUUAGUACAUUUCCAAUUUAAGUGUACAACUAUCCUUGAAAAGGCCAGAUUUUCAAAGUGCCGGACGGCAGACUGCACCUAUGUGUUUAAUCCCAGCUGGUGGUAGCGUCUUCUGGAUGCUGAGUGCUCGGAAAAUUUCACUUCUGAUUUGGGUAAUUGAUUCAAAGUUGAGUUUUUCCCAGAGCCUGGCAUGAUCCAUAGUCAGUAGUGUAGUUGUAGGAGAAAACAGUCCAAAUCUGCUGUCUCCCAGACUUGUUCUCUGAACUGUUAUAAAAUGGUUUAUUUUCAAAUUGUUUUUAAAGCACGACGAUGCAAAUUUGAAUACUCUCUGCAAAUUUGACCUGUAUUUAUAUCUGCAUGUUUGGAAGAAGCCCAUAAAAUUAUUUCCAUAUUGUUUUCAGUAAAUCUCCAGUUUAUUAUUCUGAGAAAAUUUGAUGCAUCUGCAGUGUGCACGAUCUGGCUUUCUGAUAUGCAGAUGCACAGCCUUGCAUAUCUAGUCAAAUCAGUGUAGCAACUGCUUUUACAAACUACGUGACAAUGUACAACCUCCUAUCUGAGAACCAGAUCAGAUUAAAAUUGGGACUCGGUCCAAAAAAUAAAAUACUGCAAUCAAUCUACUUA